UGCCUGGUCUCAUGGAGCUGAGGACCCGGGAAGCCGUGCGGUUGAGGCGAGCCUUGGGCUGCUUUAGGGGCGCUGACAGCCGAGGAGCGUUUUCCUGG
Unclassified non-coding RNA from Panthera pardus (leopard), 98 nucleotides. The record is from Ensembl. NCBI's taxonomy places the organism in Eukaryota, Metazoa, Chordata, Mammalia, Carnivora, Felidae.